Long non-coding RNA from Esox lucius (northern pike), 2222 nucleotides. The record is from Ensembl. NCBI's taxonomy places the organism in Eukaryota, Metazoa, Chordata, Actinopteri, Esociformes, Esocidae.
CAAAAUAAAUAGGUCUUGCCUGCUUGCAUAGAGUGACAGGUGCAUCACACAUCUAGUUAUAACUACCCUAAUAGACUAGACCUGGCUUAAGCCCCAUGUGGUGCGAGACAAGGCAACCGUGUUUGACAUCCACCUUGUAACUGCCUUUGUCCAGUUUAUUUUGUAUUAGCACUUUUACUAUUUGUUUUUCUUUCUAAAUUGAAUGUUAAUAGUAAGACGGAAUUAAUUAUUGGUCCCGCCCGGAGGUUUCCGGCCGGGCGCCUUUGAGCGACGCACUGAAGAAAACUUUACCGCGAAAGAGACUGAUUAUUCCGCUGUUGUCAUGUUUAAGUAAAUAAGUUGGCAGGAAAAUAUACAGAAGAUGAUUCAGGAGAUUUGAAAGGAUGUUUAGCACCUCUUUGUGAUAAGCAGCAAUGAGUUCUCAUGGGUUGACCAACAUUAAAGCCCUGUGUUCUAACCAAGACCUCUUGCUUCAUGCCUGUCACUGGGGGAGCUACACACCUGUCAAAUCCCGGGCCGUGUACAUUUUGCACCACCCUCUGUUGGAGCCCCAUGCACUGUCAAUACGCCUCAACCAGGAUUCGAUUGAAGCAAAGUUGCAGCUGCACUGCAAGCUGGAACGCUGCGGUACGUUACCGGCCGGUGGUGGCUGGUCCCCUUCAUGGGUGUGAGGACAUUGAGGGGGCCCUGGCGUACUCCGUCCGCUCCAUCAUCGACUCGAGGCGCCGGGUGGGGUGCCUCCAGUACCUCGUGGAGUGGGAGGGGUACGGCCCGGAGGAACGGAGCUGGGUUCCGGUGAGAGACAUCCUGGCUCUCGCCCUCCUGCGCGACUUCCAUCGCCCGGAUCGCCCUGCUCUGUGUUCCCCGGGUCGGCCCCAGGGCCGGUGUCGUUGGGGGGGUUGGUGCUGUAAUGACUGCGCCCUCUGCUGCCUCUCCUCCCCCUGCAGCAGGCAGGCUCCAGCGGUCGACGUCACCGGUCUUCUAACACCAUCGCCCGUCUCAUUCAUGCAUUUCCCCUGUUGUCUUGUUUAGCGCACCUGAUCCUCAUUCUAAUCAUUGCCCCCAGUAUAUAUGCUCCCUCUGCUUCCCGUGUCUUUGUGUUUUAUUGUCUCGCCUACCCAGAGCAUUAUCAGGCUACGCCACUAUUGUCACUAUUAAAACACAGUUCAACAGUACGACUUCGGAUUCCUGCUCCUCGUUCCUCCUCGAGCCUGACAUUCAGCAUUAUCCAACAACAUCUUGUUUUACCUGGGUUACUGGGGCCAAUAAUGACACAGCCGAAUGGGUGUUGAAGUUGCGGGUCAAAACCGCUAUCCAUCCUAGAAUGUGAUUUAGUACCCGUAAGGCCCUGUGCUGUAAUCAGGGAGCAGUACACACUUGUUGUACACAACUCUGAAAUGCUUAGACACUACUUGGUUUUUCAAUCUGAAUGUUGUUUUAUCUCUCACAAUUGUGUCUACAUUAGCAAGGACGUAAUCAUCAUCACCACCCUCGCCUCGUACAUAGUUAUCAACCAGUCGUGUUAGCGUCUCCAAAUUAACAAUGGUUGUGUUGUAGCUGUUGAGUGUAAUGUUUGCUUUGAGACAGGUCAGACCUUUAACAGUUUUGUAACCAUGUGUCUUUGGCCCACCACUAACAAAUUGAGCAAUGCUGUCACCAUCUGGCAACUAAACGGUCAAGUCACCCAAGAAUGGACCCAGUGGGGGGACCCAAUCCCCAUGGCGUGUGACAAAGAUCACUGAAUCAGUGUCUGUGUCUAUCCAACCUCUCCAAGAGUGAAUACAACUCAAGUCUAGCAUAAGCGGUUGUGAACGCGGCAAUAAAAAUGUUGCCGUUACGUGGUUUGAUUCGUGUCUGUUUUGUGUAAUGCCACUGUACCAUCGCAACGGUGUCUGAGAUAAAAGAGAAAUAACCAACUUCUAUUUCACUGGAAAAAAGGUAGUGGCUAAACCCCUCCGGAUCUGUAAUUAGCAUUCUGUUCAUAAGGUUAGACCAACCACCCAUCUUACCCCAAAGACUAUUCAUUACCAGUUUAGCCAAAGAUAGCCUAGUACUGUUUACAACAAUUUUUUCCCUGUCAAGCUGCACACCCUAAUUUUCAUGAUAUUCAGGGAUACAGAAAACCCCCAGCUAUCUGCGGUUCCAUAUUCCCGAACUCAAGUAUCCGCAGAAAUUCUAAAAACGCGCUAGUUUCAGCCAUCCAAGCGUCGAUCUGGUUAAUU